This is a non-coding RNA of Pelobates cultripes (western spadefoot toad), 149 nucleotides long. The record is from the annotation of a GenBank genome assembly. NCBI's taxonomy places the organism in Eukaryota, Metazoa, Chordata, Amphibia, Anura, Pelobatidae.
UGUCCAGUCUUUUUUUAGUAGCCACUUAGUCACAAACACUGGCCAAAGUUAGCCUUUAUAUUUGUUUGGGUGUUAAAAAUGCAAAAAACAAUUAUGAAUGUUAAUUUUGGCCAGUGUUUGACUAAGUGGCUACUAAAGAAGACUGAACA